Hyaena hyaena (striped hyena) is the source of this 648-nucleotide long non-coding RNA. RefSeq lists it as uncharacterized. The transcript is spliced from 3 exons. Lineage: Eukaryota; Metazoa; Chordata; Mammalia; Carnivora; Hyaenidae. The record is from RefSeq and is a predicted model, not a curated record.
GUCUGGAACCAGCUUGACAAGCUUUUGAAGGAAAUCACCGAGGCUCAGAGAGGCCGAUCCACUUUCUCAAGGACGCACAGCUAGGAAACGAGAACGUCGGGAUUCAAAUCCUGAUCUGCGGGCUGAAUCCCUCAAGGAAAGCAGGUUAAAUGUUUUUAGACGUAAAACAUUUCAAGCGCCUACUAUGUGUAAGACCAUUGAGGUAUAAUUAUUCCCCCAAAAAGGACACGUUCAAAAGGGAAGAAGGAAGCUGAGAGGCAGAGAGAGACGUGGGAAGCUGCAGCCGGAGAGAGCCAGGAUUGGUGGGCAGGACGCCUCUCUGACUGCUGGCUCUCCGGCUGUUUGAGUGAUGGGCGAUCUGGCACGUGGGGCCACGGAGGGGAGGGGCUGGGACCCUCCCCUUACCUAGAGCCUUCUCCUGGCCUGACUGGUGAUGGUGGCUUCAGCCUGCCCCAUCCCUCCCGGACAUCUGUCCUCACCCCCCUCCCCACUGGCUGGGCUGUGGGGCACAGGCUGAUACUCCAGUCCUUCUCUGUGCUAAAUGGGGCAGUUGUCCCAGGGGCCUCCCUGUGUCCUUGAGGACAGACUUUCUGUUCCCUGUAGCAGCAUCCGACGCUGUGCUAGUUGCUUUACGGACAGUGUCUCUUC